This 405-nucleotide ribosomal RNA is filed under the name uncultured rumen bacterium. Its description in RNAcentral is "bacterial SSU rRNA". It matches the Rfam family "Bacterial small subunit ribosomal RNA", at positions 354 to 776 of the family's 1533-position model. The record is from RNAcentral.
GUGGGGAAUAUUGCACAAUGGAGGAAACUCUGAUGCAGCGACGCCGCGUGAGUGAAGAAGUAUCUCGGUAUGUAAAGCUCUAUCAGCAGGAAAGAAAAUGACGGUACCUGACUAAGAAGCCCCGGCUAACUACGUGCCAGCAGCCGCGGUAAUACGUAGGGGGCAAGCGUUAUCCGGAUUUACUGGGUGUAAAGGGAGCGUAGACGGUAAAGCAAGUCUGAAGUGAAAGCUCGGGGCUCAACCCCGGAACUGCUUUGGAAACUGUUUUACUGGAGUGCAGGAGAGGUAAGCGGAAUUCCUAGUGUAGCGGUGAAAUGCGUAGAUAUUAGGAGGAACACCAGAGGCGAAGGCGGCUUACUGGACUGUAACUGACGUUGAGGCUCGAAGGCGUGGGGAGCAAACAGG